UACGUAGGGCGCAAGCGUUGUCCGGAAUUAUUGGGCGUAAAGAGCUCGUAGGCGGUCUGUUACGUCCGCUGUGAAAACCCAGGGCUUAACCCUGGGCUUGCAGUGGAUACGGGUAGACUAGAGGCAGGUAGGGGAGAAUGGAAUUCCCGGUGUAGCGGUGAAAUGCGCAGAUAUCGGGAGGAACACCGGUGGCGAAGGCGGUUGCCUGGAGCUUUGCUGACGCUGAUGCGCGAAAGCGUGGGGAGCGAUCCGG
This 253-nucleotide ribosomal RNA is filed under the name uncultured bacterium. RNAcentral's name for it is "partial 16S ribosomal RNA". It matches the Rfam family "Bacterial small subunit ribosomal RNA", at positions 524 to 776 of the family's 1533-position model. The record is from RNAcentral.